UAAGUGCCUAUGAUGGUUAUAAAUAUACUUUGGGCAAAUAGCAAUUACUAUGAAAAGACAUCAACUGGAGGCUCACUUU
Small nucleolar RNA from Elaeis guineensis (African oil palm), 79 nucleotides. Lineage: Eukaryota; Viridiplantae; Streptophyta; Magnoliopsida; Arecales; Arecaceae. The record is from RefSeq and is a predicted model, not a curated record.